RNAcentral lists this transfer RNA (73 nucleotides) under Photobacterium damselae subsp. damselae. Its description in RNAcentral is "tRNA-Val". It matches the Rfam family "tRNA". Rfam says of the family: Transfer RNA (tRNA) molecules are approximately 80 nucleotides in length. Their secondary structure includes four short double-helical elements and three loops (D, anti-codon, and T loops). Lineage: Bacteria; Pseudomonadati; Pseudomonadota; Gammaproteobacteria; Vibrionales; Vibrionaceae. The record is from RNAcentral.
GGGCGAUUAGCUCAGUUGGGAGAGCACCUCCCUUACAAGGAGGGGGUCACUGGUUCGAGCCCGGUAUCGCCCC